Molecule: ribosomal RNA, 464 nt
Filed under: Geobacillus thermodenitrificans
Lineage: Bacteria; Bacillati; Bacillota; Bacilli; Caryophanales; Anoxybacillaceae
Description: bacterial SSU rRNA
Rfam family: Bacterial small subunit ribosomal RNA
Source: RNAcentral
AGAGUUUGAUCAUGGCUCAGGACGAACGCUGGCGGCGUGCCUAAUACAUGCAAGUCGAGCGGACCGAACGAGAGCUUGCUCUUGUUUGGUCAGCGACGGACGGGUGAGUAACACGUGGGCAACCUGCCCGCAAGACCGGGAUAACUCCGGGAAACCGGAGCUAAUACCGGAUAACACCAAAGACCGCAUGGUCUUUGGUUGAAAGGCGGCUUCGGCUGUCACUUGCGGAUGGGCCCGCGGCGCAUUAGCUAGUUGGUGAGGUAACGGCUCACCAAGGCGACGAUGCGUAGCCGGCCUGAGAGGGUGACCGGCCACACUGGGACUGAGACACGGCCCAGACUCCUACGGGAGGCAGCAGUAGGGAAUCUUCCGCAAUGGACGAAAGUCUGACGGAGCGACGCCGCGUGAGCGAAGAAGGCCUUCGGGUCGUAAAGCUCUGUUGUGAGGGACGAAGGAGCGCCGUU